GUCCUAGCUGUAAACGAUGGGCACUAGGCAGUGGAGGUCCGAUGCCGUCACUGUCGGAGUUAAUAUGUUAAGUGCCCCGCCUGGGGAGUACGGCCGCAAGGCUGAAACUCAAAGGAAUUGACGGGGGCUCACACAAGCGGUGGAGCAUGUGGUUCAAUUCGAAGCAACGCGCAGAACCUUACCAGGGUUUGAAAUGCACGGAUUAGCCUCCCGAAACGGAGGUGACGCCCUUGGGUGGAACGUGCACAGGUGUUGCAUGGCUGUCGU
This 267-nucleotide ribosomal RNA is filed under the name uncultured bacterium. RNAcentral describes it as "partial 16S ribosomal RNA". It matches the Rfam family "Bacterial small subunit ribosomal RNA", at positions 793 to 1055 of the family's 1533-position model. The record is from RNAcentral.